RNAcentral lists this long non-coding RNA (6581 nucleotides) under Vigna radiata. RNAcentral describes it as "long non-coding RNA (VRAD_LNC009649)". The record is from RNAcentral. Lineage: Eukaryota; Viridiplantae; Streptophyta; Magnoliopsida; Fabales; Fabaceae.
GCUCUCAUCCCAUCCAAACAAAUUUGCAGCUUUGGUGAGUGCAUGGCUCCACCUGGACAUUCCAUGCUCAAGUUCUUGUCCUGAAAAUGUUUGUUGAGCAGUUGCCUUCAAGGCUUUUCCAAAGUCACCCUUCUGAAAACGUACAUCAGAUGGCUGGAUUUCAUAAUAUACAGGCAGAACAUGUCGGCAAUAAGUUUCGUGCCAGUCGAUGAUUUGUUGAAGCUGAUGAAGACACCAAGCAGAUUGAGAAUAGGUUUGGGUGAAAACAACAAUUGUUACACGACAGUGGCUGAGAAUAGGUUCUUGGAUGUGUGUUGACUUCACUGCAUUGGGGUAAAGAAGGAAAGUGGUGAGAGGAACAGUAGAGAGGGCAGAAUUGGUUACUCUAUAUAUCUUGGCUCUUCACUUAUUUCAUGGAAAUCGAAGAAAUAAGCCACUGUAUCCAAAAGUUCCUCAGAAGUUGAAUACAGAGCUCUUGCCACAGCUACUUACGAAAUUCAAUGGUUAACUUUUCUUCUACAGGAUCUUCACGUAACUUUUCAACAACCAGCAGUCUUAGUCUGUGAUAACAAUUAUGCCCUUCAUAUUGCUGCAAAUCCAGUUUUUCAUGAAUGCACGAAACAUUGAAAUAUAUUGUCAUAUUGUAAGGGAAAAGCUUUCUCCUGGCUUACUUAAACUACGUACUAUCGAUUCCUUCUGCAUGCCAGUUAGCUGAUAUCUACACCAAAGGACUUUCACCAGCAGCUUUCAAAUUUCUGGUUUCCAAGUGGGAAUGAUUGACAUUCAUUCUCCAGCUUGAGGGGGCUGUUAGGAUUCAAUAUAUGUUAGGAUUUAAUAUCUUGUUAGGAUUUAAUAUAUGUUAAGAUUUAAUAUCUUGUUAGGUUUUAAGAUCUUGUUUGUUAUUAUUUUUGUUUGUUAUUAUUCUGUAUAUAUUAUUGAUAGAUUAGAUAGAGUUAUAACUAAUUUUGUUAUAAUCUUGAUGUAUAAAUAUUUACAUCUGCAUGUUGAGAUAAUACACUGACUAUUGUUUUACCUCCUUGUUUUUCCAUUAUAUAUUGCAAUUUCUAUACUUGGUGGUUUGAAUGAUGAUUCUCAUUAUUUAAGACCUGCUGCAAAAUUCCUGAUUUUGUAAUAGUAGCAAAAUAUUCAACCAAAAUAUUUUUCACUUGCUUAGACAAUUGAAAAUCGAUGUCACAUGCUACCAAAACACUUCUUUCUUUAGGCUUUAAUUAGCUUGUGUGGAUUGAAAAGCUAUGACAUUAGGCUUUAAUUUCAUGCAUCCCACAAUUUCUUUCUUUCUUCGUGCAUCCCUACAAACUUUUAAAACAACCAUUUUAUCCUCUGGAAAUGACUUCCAAAGUAUAUAUUUCAAAAGUUUUCCCAAACAAAGAUUGUGGAGUUUUCGAAAUAAUAUUUCUGAAAUAAAAUUUUCUGAACAGAAUUUUUGAAAUGAAAUUUUAAAAUGUGAUUUUCCAAACAGAAUUUUCAGAAUGUGUUUUGAAAUAUAUAAUUCCAAAUGAGAUUUUUUAAAAGGAUUUUGUAAAACUCAUAAUAUCUUCCGGAACACUUACAUGAAAUGUAUUAUGAAAAGAUUUGUUCGAAAUAAGUGAGAUACAUCUUUUGAAAAUAAUUUUUUUUUUUCUGCAUUUUUUUCUCUUCUUUUUCUUUUGUAGUGUUUUCUUCCUUCUUCCUCUGCAGCAUUGUGACUGUAACAAUGAAUAUAAUGUAGGGCAUUAAUAGAAGAUGGUUAAGUCUUUUCCUCAUGUUAUGGGGUGCAGUUAAUAAUUCUGGGAGUACGGGAAAUAAUAUGAAAUUAACAUAAGCUUUGUUCCGUAUAUCACUGUCGACCACUUUUCACACCUCUAUAAUACAGAGAGAUCAUUCUUUGCCCAUGAUUUGAUGGGUGCCAAUUUUGAAAAAGAAAAGAAAAGAUAAGAAAAGGAAAAUCAUCGAUGAUCCUUAAUAAGUGUUUUUAUGCUAUCAUUUUAUUGCAUUUUCAAAAUCUUUUUGACUUUAAUAUUUUAAAACAUAUCAAUAAUUUUUUAAAAGCACACUAAAGAAACAAUAGCACAAGUUUAAAAAAAAAAACUUGGACUAAAAAAAUACGUCUUCAUAUGCAUUUAUCAUAAAAUCACACUUGAAAUAUAUAGUUUUUUUUAAGUGUUUUGAGAGUUUGAUGUUAUUAAUCUAUAUUCUUAUUUUUAAAGAAAAUUGUUACCUUAUUUGUUUAAAGAAAAUUACAUUAUUUUUAAUUUUUUGUUGUUAUUUACCAUAUCUGAAACACUUAAUGAAAUUUUUUAUGAUUCUACUGAAUUCUUGACUUAAUUUCUUUUAAGAGUGAAUGAAUUAUUCUUAUUCAAAUAAAAAUGUCAAUAUUUUGUGUCAAAAUGUUGUCACAUAUAUUUCUUAACAGCUGCCUUUAUUUCAUAAAGAAUAUCCUUUUUUUCUUUAAGAGAAAUUCUUGAUGAGGUAUUAUAUGCUCAAAGGGAAAAGAAUUCACAAAUGUAACCAUAAGAUAAUUCAAGUGAAGCCAAGGCAACACAACGCCAGGAGUGAGAAGCAUGACUUAAACAAACAUGAAUUUUUUAACUGUACGUUAUACUUUAAGGAAAAAGAGGAAAGGAUGCGAAAAUAUAAAUAGUAAUCAAGAACAAUAGGAUUAUUUAUUUCCAUCACUAAAUGAUAACGCUGUUCUCAAAAAACAUAAAUGACUUAUCAGAACUCACAUUACAACUUUCUUUAUGAAUCUAAUGAGAGAAUGUUUUUUUGUCUCAGACGCUUUUUCCAUGUUCUCUGAUUCACCCCGUAUCAGAUACACCGUUGUGUUCUUGACCACCAAUCCAUUACCAAAGUUCACAAAUAUCUCCACAUUGUCUCCACAUUCUAAAUUUGACAUUAUGCCAUGCCAAUCUCCAUCUUUAAAAGAAAUUGUUGUGCCAUGGUUGUGUAUAUGGAAUGUGCACUUUGUGUAAUUAACAAUUACGACAGUAGUAAAUUGAGGUUCAAUGAUCUUAGGAGUUGAUAAAUAAACAACACAAAAAAUCAUUCCUUUCAAAUCACCAUCUUCAGGCACAACGAAAGAAACAGAGUGUCCCUCACCCAUAUGGGCCAUACAAUAAGGAUCAUUCACAGCUGGGAGACAAACAUCACCAGACUCACUGCUUGACAAUACCUGCACCAUAAUAUAAAAGGUUUGGUCAUUUCUCUAAUUUUUCUAUUCAAAUUGUCUUCUAUAAUCACUAUUUUAACAUUAAUAAUUACAAAGUGAGCACUUAUAAUCAAACAAACAACAAUUCAGUACAUAAUCAAAACAUACCGAUGGUAAUUAAUCUAAACAAAUCUAAUUGAUAGUUUUGUUCUACAUGUAUCAUCAUUAAGUCGUUACUGAUUUACAAUGCAUUUGUGUUUUUGUCUCUAUUAGAAUAUUUCUACGACGAUUGGAAAUAUAACCAUAGUGAAGGCAGUAAAAUAAAGUAAGAAAGUACUGAAAUAAAAGCAAAAUUACUUGAUUAGUUGAUUACCAAAAUAAGAAACCUCUAGAUGUGGUUCUAUGAGAAUAGAAAUUAAGCAUGCUAAAGUUGAUUAUUGUAGUUUCAGUUAGAUAUUUUAUUAGGAUUAUUCUAUGUUCUCUAGAUUAAAAGCUAAAAUGAUAUGAAGGUAAGAAACAGACAAAGAUAGAGAAGAACCUGAUAUAUGUUAUCGCUGACAGCAUUAAAGAAUUGAUGGUAUGCUCCAACACCAAUCAAAGAAUACCUGAAGUGCUGCUUUGAAAUUCCUGAUUCUGUAAUAUUCGCAAAAUAUUCAACCAAAAUAUUUUUCACUUGCUUAGAUAACUGAAAUUCGGUGUCACAUGCUACCAAAACACUUCGAAUAUUUGCAAGGGUGCUAAGCAACGGUGCAAUAUCAAUCGUAUUAUCCUCAGUAUCCAUGCAAAACGAAUGAAUAUAAGAGAUGGGAUUCAUUAUUGGAGACAUCCAAGACCGAAUGAUAGAUGGAAAAAGAUUAUGAGAUAAUCCUUCAAAUCCACGUAGGGAUAUAUAUCCAAUGCUUUUUGAGAUUACAAUUGAAAAAGGCACAUGUUUGACAGCUGUAUUUUCAGCAAUUAGAGUUAUCAAGGAUUCCAACUUUGCUAUAUCUUUAUCCAUUAUGUCAAUCUUGGAACAACCAGAGAGAAUGAAAGUUCUUAAUGAUUUCAAGUCAUAUAUCUCUAUUGGAAGAUAGUUUAGACUUGUACAGUCUUUCAAAUUUAGGAGUAUAAGACUGUUGAGUGAUCCAAUAGAUCGGUGUACUUCGCGCAAUCUUGAACAAUAUUUGAAAAUGAGGUGUUCAAGACUUGGUAAUCCGGUAAAGUCAGGGGUUGUAGUUAAAUGCUCGUAGUGACUGAGGUUAAGGACUUUUAGUGCUCUCAAAACCUGUACCAAGAUAGUUUUUCAUUUUAGAAGUAUUAGAGUAGUAAUAAAAAAUGAAAUAAUAGGAAGCUAGUAAUUUAUUUUAAUUAAGUUGUAUUUUAACGAGAAGUGGAUCGUAAUAAAACCUGGGGUGUUUUCCAGAGAAAUCGAAGAAGACUGCGUUUUAAAUCAAUAGCUGUUGCAUCAUCCUCAUAAAUGUUGUUAGGCAGAUAUUCUGAAGAAAGCCCAUGCGAACUGAUCCAUCUUAUUUUAUUAAGAAGGUCAUAAGAAAUUGCAGUCGGUUGUAGACUUUCGAUGGCAGUGAGCAGUUUCACAGGCAACCACUGCAGGGCUUCUGUCCCCUGUGAAGAAAAAUCAAAAUAAAAACAAUUGUAAUGCACAGGAGCAAGAAAACGCUUUCAAAAGAAGUUUCAAACCACAUGUAAAGAAUGUUCUUACAUAUUUUGUAUCCUUAUCAAACCACAGUCGUCUGUUCUUCCCAAGAUCCUUUCCUGAAUUUUCAUGAAUAAUUUUCAUUCCGAUGUUUUGUAGCAAAUGAUGCAUUCCAAAUUUGUUGUUCUUGUUAAUUUUGAUGAGGUUACGCUGGAUGAGAACUCUUAUUCCAAUAUCAGCGUCUACUCCACAGCCAUUUAGGAUCUUCCUAACAUAGGCUCUGCUCUUACCAACAAAGAAAAAACAUAUAUCAAGGAAUAUAUCUUUUUCCAUUUCAUUCAGUGAACCUUCGAUGCUUAUUUUUAUUAUCUUUGGAACACAACGCAUGCCAUAUAUCGCAAACAAUAAAUUGUUCCAUUCUUCUUUGGUCUUUUCAAAUAAAGCACUUCCAACGACUUCAAGAGCUAGUGGUAGUCCUGCACAAUAUCUAACUACACUUCUUGCAAGGUCUUUGUAUUCUUCUUUUGGUUUUGGUUCUUUAAAUGCGUGCCAACUAAGAAGCUCAAGGGAGUCCUCUGCGUUCAUUCGCUUUACCCAAAAGACAGAAUCACCUCCUCUCAGCGGUUCUAUAUAUGUUGAUGUAAGGAUUAUAACAGUUCCUUCAACGGACCAUUUACGAAAAUCCCAUAUGUCGAAUAAACUAAAGUUGGAAACAUCGUCAAGUACAAUGAGCAUCCUUUUCCCAGAAAGCUUUUCCCGAAUUAUAGUUCUUCCCACAUCAAUGCUAGGAAUCUCCACCUUUUGUUUUAGGACAUCUAAAAGAAGUUGUUCUAGUAAACGAAGAUGCCCUCUUAUUCCGCUAACUUGUGAAAUAUUUUCAAUGAAACUUUUCUCCUUGAAUGUCCAAUGAAUUUGAUUGUAGAUCGCUUUGGCAAUAGUGGUUUUACCAGAUCCUUCCUCUCCACCUAUUCCUAUGAUACAAACUUCCGAUUGUUUAUUUUUGAUAGUUUGAAUCAGAUCUUCCACGUAUGAUUGUAAUCUAACUGGAAAUUUAGUAGCAGACAAGAUUGGUAAAUUAACAACGCUCUUAACAAUUUUCUCCACUAANUCAGCAUCACUCCUUCAAGUUCAAGAGCAAUAAUAGAAGAAAUCAUGUAUUAAGAAAAUGAAAUCGGAGGCUUAAAAGAUGGUUGAUUGAGUGAAUGAUGUACCUGUGAUUGCUCUCAUCCCAUCCAAAGAAAUUUGCAGCUUUGGUGAGUGCAUGGCUCCACCUGGACAUUCCAUGCACCAAUUCUUCUCCUGAAAAUGUUUGUUGAGCAGUUGCCUUCAAGGCUUUUCCAAAGUCACCCUUUUGAAGACGUACAUCAGAUGGCUGGAUUUCAUAAUAUACGGGAAGAACAUGUCGGCAAUAAGUUUCGUGCCAUUUGAUGAUUUGUUGAAGUUGAUGAAGACACCAAGCAGAUUGAGAAUAGGUUUGGGUGAAAACAACAAUUGCUACUCGACAGUUGCUGAGAAUAGGUUGUUGGAUGUGAGUAGACUUCACUGCAUUGGGGUGAUGAAGGAAAGUGGUGAGACCAAUAGUAGAGAAGGCAGAAUUGAGAUGAGAAACAAAUUUUCUGUGGAUGUCUUCUCCAGUGAAGUUGAUCAGCACAUCGUACUUCCAUGGGAGUUUGUAUGAUGAGGAGGCGAUAUCCAUGGAAAGGAAAAGUUAGAAGAGAAACCAAGUGCAAGACAGUGAAGGAGAUAAAUGUAUCUUAUAACAAUUAUGUAGUUUUAAUCUUUUAUUCAUAAAUGUUAAAU